This 1257-nucleotide ribosomal RNA is filed under the name uncultured Acinetobacter sp. RNAcentral describes it as "bacterial SSU rRNA". It matches the Rfam family "Bacterial small subunit ribosomal RNA", at positions 76 to 1328 of the family's 1533-position model. The record is from RNAcentral. Lineage: Bacteria; Pseudomonadati; Pseudomonadota; Gammaproteobacteria; Moraxellales; Moraxellaceae.
UAGCUUGCUACCUGACCUAGCGGCGGACGGGUGAGUAAUGCUUAGGAAUCUGCCUAUUAGUGGGGGACAACAUUCCGAAAGGAAUGCUAAUACCGCAUACGCCCUACGGGGGAAAGCAGGGGAUCUUCGGACCUUGCGCUAAUAGAUGAGCCUAAGUCAGAUUAGCUAGUUGGUGGGGUAAAGGCCUACCAAGGCGACGAUCUGUAGCGGGUCUGAGAGGAUGAUCCGCCACACUGGGACUGAGACACGGCCCAGACUCCUACGGGAGGCAGCAGUGGGGAAUAUUGGACAAUGGGCGAAAGCCUGAUCCAGCCAUGCCGCGUGUGUGAAGAAGGCCUUUUGGUUGUAAAGCACUUUAAGCGAGGAGGAGGCUACUGAGAUUAAUACUCUUGGAUAGUGGACGUUACUCGCAGAAUAAGCACCGGCUAACUCUGUGCCAGCAGCCGCGGUAAUACAGAGGGUGCGAGCGUUAAUCGGAUUUACUGGGCGUAAAGCGUGCGUAGGCGGCUUUUUAAGUCGGAUGUGAAAUCCCUGAGCUUAACUUAGGAAUUGCAUUCGAUACUGGGAAGCUAGAGUAUGGGAGAGGAUAGUAGAAUUCCAGGUGUAGCGGUGAAAUGCGUAGAGAUCUGGAGGAGUACCGAUGGCGAAGGCAGCCAUCUGGCCUAAUACUGACGCUGAGGUACGAAAGCAUGGGGAGCAAACAGGAUUAGAUACCCUGGUAGUCCAUGCCGUAAACGAUGUCUACUAGCCGUUGGGGCCUUUGAGGCUUUAGUGGCGCAGCUAACGCGAUAAGUAGACCGCCUGGGGAGUACGGUCGCAAGACUAAAACUCAAAUGAAUUGACGGGGGCCCGCACAAGCGGUGGAGCAUGUGGUUUAAUUCGAUGCAACGCGAAGAACCUUACCUGGUCUUGACAUAGUAAGAACUUUCCAGAGAUGGAUUGGUGCCUUCGGGAACUUACAUACAGGUGCUGCAUGGCUGUCGUCAGCUCGUGUCGUGAGAUGUUGGGUUAAGUCCCGCAACGAGCGCAACCCUUUUCCUUAUUUGCCAGCGGGUUAAGCCGGGAACUUUAAGGAUACUGCCAGUGACAAACUGGAGGAAGGCGGGGACGACGUCAAGCCAUCAUGGCCCUUACGACCAGGGCUACACACGUGCUACAAUGGUCGGUACAAAGGGUUGCUACCUAGCGAUAGGAUGCUAAUCUCAAAAAGCCGAUCGUAGUCCGGAUUGGAGUCUGCAACUCGACUCCAUGAAGUCG